CAGACAGACAGACAUGGAGAGGUGGGAUCGUGUUGAGAGAGAUCAGGAAGGUCUCGAUGGGCAAGAGAUGCAGAGAAGACAAGAGGUUCCAAGAGCACGUGCACGGAGUUGGGUGCGAUACCCACGAGAAAGAACAUCGGAGUUACUGGACAGGGAACUGAGGAUCUUGGAAGCUCUGACCAGGCAAAGAGGGAGAGACUGUGACCUAGAGACAGAAGCACGUGAGCAAAUAUGAGAACGUGCACGAGAACAAGCGAGAAGAACCAGUCACACAAAACACCCAUGAAGAAAGCAACACGACUAAGGACAGACACAGGAAGUCCCAGGUCCAGCAGCUCAGGGAGGAAGGCAGGGAAGGAGGAGAAGCACCGAGCUGAGAAAUGGGUAAGAAGGGGCUGCCCCAUUUUGGGCCGCAGAGGAGAAAGGGGCAAAGGAGGUGGCCAGAAAGGGCCUGACAAGUUCAACCGGCCAGCAGCUACCACCCUGACCAGAUCCGCAUUCCAGCCCGGCCCCUCACACACUCAGCUCCCAC
Molecule: long non-coding RNA, 532 nt
Filed under: Homo sapiens (human)
Lineage: Eukaryota; Metazoa; Chordata; Mammalia; Primates; Hominidae
Description: HSALNT0229623
Source: RNAcentral